UCCGAGUUGACCCCGGCAGUCUCCUAUGAGUCCCCACCACCCCGAAGGGCGUGCUGGCAACAUAGGACGAGGGUUGCGCUCGUUGCGGGACUUAACCCAACAUCUCACGACACGAGCUGACGACAGCCAUGCACCACCUGUACACCGACCACAAGGGGGCGACCAUCUCUGGCCGUUUCCGGUGUAUGUCAAGCCUUGGUAAGGUUCUUCGCGUUGCGUCGAAUUAAGCCACAUGCUCCACCGCUUGUGCGGGCCCCCGCCAAUUCCUUUGAGUUUUAGCCUUGCGGCCGUACUCCCCAGGCGGGGCGCUUAAUGCGUUAGCUGCGGCACGGAACUCGUGGAAUGAGCUCCACACCUAGCGCCCAACGUUUACGGCGUGGACUAC
This 385-nucleotide unclassified non-coding RNA is filed under the name uncultured Actinomycetes bacterium. RNAcentral's name for it is "uncultured actinobacterium contains 16S-23S intergenic spacer region". Lineage: Bacteria; Bacillati; Actinomycetota; Actinomycetes. The record is from RNAcentral.